RNAcentral lists this ribosomal RNA (786 nucleotides) under uncultured archaeon. RNAcentral's name for it is "bacterial SSU rRNA". It matches the Rfam family "Archaeal small subunit ribosomal RNA", at positions 85 to 876 of the family's 1478-position model. The record is from RNAcentral.
ACUGCUCAGUAACACGUGGACAACCUACCCUAAGGAGGGGGAUAACCCCGGGAAACUGGGGAUAAUACCCCAUAGACUAUGGGUGCUGGAAUGCCUUGUAGUCGAAAGGUCCGCCGCCUUAGGAUGGGUCUGCGGCCGAUUAGGUUGUUGUUGGGGUAACGGCCCAACAAGCCUGUAAUCGGUACGGGUUGUGGGAGCAAGAGCCCGGAGAUGGAUUCUGAGACACGAAUCCAGGCCCUACGGGGCGCAGCAGGCGCGAAAACUUUACAAUGCGGGAAACCGUGAUAAGGGAACUCCGAGUGCCCGUUAAAUCGGGCUGUCCACCAGUUUAAACAACUGGUGAAGAAAGGGCCGGGCAAGACCGGUGCCAGCCGCCGCGGUAAUACCGGCGGCUCGAGUGGUGGCCACUAUUACUGGGCUUAAAGCGUUCGUAGCUGGUCUGUUAAGUCUCUGGGGAAAUCUACCGGCUUAACCGGUAGGCGUCUCAGGGAUACUGGCAGACUAGGGACCGGGAGAGGUGAGAGGUACUCCAGGGGUAGGAGUGAAAUCCUGUAAUCCUUGGGGGACCACCUGUGGCGAAGGCGUCUCACCAGAACGGCUCCGACAGUGAGGGACGAAAGCUGGGGGAGCAAACCGGAUUAGAUACCCGGGUAGUCCCAGCUGUAAACGAUGCGCGUUAGGUGUAUCGGUGACCACGAGUCACCGAGGUGCCGAAGAGAAAUCGUGAAACGUGCCGCCUGGGAAGUACGGUCGCAAGGCUGAAACUUAAAGGAAUUGGCGGGGGAG